Molecule: long non-coding RNA, 905 nt
Filed under: Homo sapiens (human)
Lineage: Eukaryota; Metazoa; Chordata; Mammalia; Primates; Hominidae
Description: small nucleolar RNA host gene 14
Rfam family: Small nucleolar RNA SNORD116 (bases 1-96)
Source: RNAcentral
GGAUCGAUGAUGAGUCCUCCAAAAAAAACAUUCCUUGGAAAAGCUGAACAAAAUGAGUGAAAACUCAUACCGUCAUUCUCAUCGGAACUGAGGUCCAGCACAUUGCUUCCUCUGGGGCCUUUACUAGUGAGGGACAACUUCCACUAGUCCCUAUAGGUUCUAACACCCAUGGCGUUCACAGGUGAAGGUCUCCUGUCAUAUUACAAACAUUCCCCCCACUCCCCUCCCAAAAAAAGGAACAUUUCCUCUGUGUCAGGUACACAGGUCAGAGAGUCAUAGGGUGACUGGCUGCUCUGUGAUGGCAUAGUGGCCGUGGAAGUGGAUGGAAAUGUCGCAGGCUUAGGGGAGUGUGGGGCUGGCCUCGGCUUGGUGAGCUCCCAGGAAGGGGGACCUGGAAAUCGCUGCGGGCAUCCUUGCAUAGAGGACCAGCAGCAGUUGUCAUGAGAGGUCUGCCGCUUGCUGGCAAGGAAGAUGGUCAAUUCUUCUGACCAACAGAGGCUGCCUUGAGUCCUGAUUUGGUGUGGCCUGGCAUCUAUGGUGCACCCAAUGCUGGUGAGUGGCUCAGGGUGGUAAGCAUUCCUCUGCCCUGUGUGCAGAGGUGUCUUUUGAAUUUUGAGACCUGCAAAGAGCUGUUUCUCAGCAGGCCACUAAUGGCAUGGCGAGUUCCACUCCCAGAGCUGAUUGUCUGUGUUCAUUGCUCAGUGGUGUGGCUCUGGGUUCCCCCCAGGAUGCUGAAGGUGUUUAAGGUCAUCAGCUCUCCCACUGCCCAGCCUGUGGUGUCAAAUGUUCUGCCUCUUCGAACGUGCUUGGAUCGAUGAUGAGUCCCCCAUAAAAACAUUCCUUGGAAAAGCUGAACAAAAUGAGUGAGAACUCAUACCGUCGUUCUCAUCAGAACUGAGGUCCAG